RNAcentral lists this ribosomal RNA (1346 nucleotides) under uncultured bacterium. RNAcentral describes it as "partial 16S ribosomal RNA". It matches the Rfam family "Bacterial small subunit ribosomal RNA", at positions 28 to 1381 of the family's 1533-position model. The record is from RNAcentral.
GACGAACGCUGUCGGCGUGCUUAACACAUGCAAGUCGAACGGAAAGGCCCUGCUUUUGUGGGGUGCUCGAGUGGCGAACGGGUGAGUAACACGUGAGUAACCUGCCCUUGACUUUGGGAUAACUUCAGGAAACUGGGGCUAAUACCGGAUAGGAGCUCCUGCUGCAUGGUGGGGGUUGGAAAGUUUCGGCGGUUGGGGAUGGACUCGCGGCUUAUCAGCUUGUUGGUGGGGUAGUGGCUUACCAAGGCUUUGACGGGUAGCCGGCCUGAGAGGGUGACCGGCCACAUUGGGACUGAGAUACGGCCCAGACUCCUACGGGAGGCAGCAGUGGGGAAUAUUGCACAAUGGGCGGAAGCCUGAUGCAGCAACGCCGCGUGCGGGAUGACGGCCUUCGGGUUGUAAACCGCUUUCGCCUGUGACGAAGCGUGAGUGACGGUAAUGGGUAAAGAAGCACCGGCUAACUACGUGCCAGCAGCCGCGGUGAUACGUAGGGUGCGAGCGUUGUCCGGAUUUAUUGGGCGUAAAGGGCUCGUAGGUGGUUGAUCGCGUCGGAAGUGUAAUCUUGGGGCUUAACCCUGAGCGUGCUUUCGAUACGGGUUGACUUGAGGAAGGUAGGGGAGAAUGGAAUUCCUGGUGGAGCGGUGGAAUGCGCAGAUAUCAGGAGGAACACCAGUGGCGAAGGCGGUUCUCUGGGCCUUUCCUGACGCUGAGGAGCGAAAGCGUGGGGAGCGAACAGGCUUAGAUACCCUGGUAGUCCACGCUGUAAACGGUGGGUACUAGGUGUGGGGUCCAUUCCACGGGUUCCGUGCCGUAGCUAACGCUUUAAGUACCCCGCCUGGGGAGUACGGCCGCAAGGCUAAAACUCAAAGGAAUUGACGGGGCCCCGCACAAGCGGCGGAGCAUGCGGAUUAAUUCGAUGCAACGCGUAGAACCUUACCUGGGUUUGACAUGGAUCGGGAGUGCUCAGAGAUGGGUGUGCCUCUUUUGGGGUCGGUUCACAGGUGGUGCAUGCCUGCCGUCAGCUCGUGUCGUGAGAUGUUGGGUUAAGUCCCGCAACGAGCGCAACCCUUGUUCACUGUUGCCAGCACGUUAUGGUGGGGACUCAGUGGAGACCGCCGGGGUCAACUCGGAGGAAGGUGGGGAUGACGUCAAGUCAUCAUGCCCCUUAUGUCCAGGGCUUCACGCAUGCUACAAUGGCUGGUACAGAGAGUGGCGAGCCUGUGAGGGUGAGCGAAUCUCGGAAAGCCGGUCUCAGUUCGGAUUGGGGUCUGCAACUCGACCUCAUGAAGUCGGAGUCGCUAGUAAUCGCAGAUCAGCAACGCUGCGGUGAAUACGUUCCCGGGGCU